Regulatory RNA element from Pseudomonas fulva 12-X, 67 nucleotides. It matches the Rfam family "sucC RNA". Lineage: Bacteria; Pseudomonadati; Pseudomonadota; Gammaproteobacteria; Pseudomonadales; Pseudomonadaceae. The record is from Rfam.
GCCACAGGUGGUGCGGCACGUGAGUGCAGCACCGAUGCGCAAUACCUAAACGAAGACGGUAGACAAG